Molecule: long non-coding RNA, 903 nt
Organism: Acinonyx jubatus (cheetah)
Lineage: Eukaryota; Metazoa; Chordata; Mammalia; Carnivora; Felidae
Exons: 2
Source: RefSeq, a predicted model, not a curated record
AUGUGAUUUGGUCUUGAUUUGGAAAAUGGAGUCCUACCAUAUCUUUAUUCAUUUCCCAACUAGAAUUAUGUGAUUCUAGGAUAGAUACAGAACAACAUCCCAUUUCAUAUCCACUAUGCCACCUCCUUCUCAAGCCGUUCCUCUUCCAAAUUUUCAGCCACUUUAACAUUAAAAACUUUUCUACCUAAACUUACACCUUCAGAACUAUAUAAUUUUAUCUUUUUCUAAAGUCAGUAUAAAUUAUUUUUAACUCAUAAUGGUAUUUGUUCAGAACAGUUGGAUUGAAUGCUUACUGUGUGUAAUAUGCAUAAUGGAACCUUAAGUACAAUACCGAUACUGGGAAAGAUAAAGAAUUCAAAUAGUAAUUUUUGUCAGAGAAAAUUUGGGAAAUUAUUUGUGGAGCUUAGUUACAAUUUUCCAGGGGAUAUGCCUUUAUUUUCUCUGUGUUCCAGGUCUUUCCUGAAAUUUAGAAGCCCCUUUGUUCCCCUUCCUUUCUGAUGCUAUCAGUGGUGAUGAUCACCUUUGAGGAAGAAAAGCCCACUUCCACUGACCAUGGAGAAUACACAGCAUCUCUGCUUGAUUGUGACAAGGCAAGUCCCAGGCAAUGGAUAAAAUCAAAUCUGAAACCGUUGAUUCAUGUUGGUGAAAGCUACCGAAAGAAUGUGAGGAUGGUUUUAAAGAUUUCCUGGUAAUUGAUAAAGCAUGUUCAGGUGGCCAGGCAAGUUUGGAGACCUUCUUUGACAUUUACAAGGGUUAUUAAAGGUUGUUGAGAAGCUACAUUUAGGAGUUAGAGGAACUGACAAAAUCCUUUUCACAGAAUGACAUGGUGAGAACAAGUUGAAAUUUUUGUAAAUUUAUUAAGUGUUCAAAGGAGUGAAACACCUGAUUAAAUUUCUGAUGCUC